RNAcentral lists this ribosomal RNA (425 nucleotides) under uncultured bacterium. RNAcentral describes it as "bacterial SSU rRNA". It matches the Rfam family "Bacterial small subunit ribosomal RNA", at positions 349 to 793 of the family's 1533-position model. The record is from RNAcentral.
CAGCAGUGGGAAUCUUGGACAAUGGGCGCAAGCCUGAUCCAGCCAUGCCGCGUGAGUGAUGAAGGCCUAGGGUCGUAAAGCUCUUUCGCCGAGGGAUGAUAAUGACAGUACCUGGUAAACGAAACCCCGGACUAACUCCGUGCCAGCAGCCGCGGUAAUACGGAGGGGUUAGCGUUGUUCGGAAUUACUGGCGUAAAGCGCGCGUAGGCGGACUGGAAAGUUGGGGUGAAAUCCCGGGGCUCAACCCGGAACUGCCUCCAAAACUCCCAGUCUUGAGUUCGAGAGAGGUGAGUGGAAUUCCGAGUGUAGAGGUGAAAAUUCGUAGAUAUUCGGAGGAACACCAGUGGCGAAGGCGGCUCACUGGCUCGAUACUGACGCUGAGGUGCGAAAGUGUGGGGAGCAAACAGGAUUAGAUACCCUGGUAG